CCCUUAGAUGUUCUGGGCCGCACGCGCGCUACACUGAUGCAUUCAACGAGUUUCUUCCUGGUCCGAGAGGAAUGGGUAACCUUUUGAAAGUGCAUCGUGAUAGGGAUAGACUAUUGCAAUUAUUGGUCUUCAACGAGGAAUUCCUAGUAGACGUAGUUCAUCAGACUGCAUCGAUUACGUCCCUGCCCUUUGUACACACCGCCCGUCGCUCCUACCGAUUGAAUGCUCAGGUGGGCCAUUCGGACUUUCAUCAUGCUGGUUUCCAGUUUUGAUGAAGGAAAGUCUUGUGAACCUUAUCAUUUAGAGGAAGGAGAAGUCGUAACA
Molecule: ribosomal RNA, 324 nt
Filed under: uncultured eukaryote
Lineage: Eukaryota
Description: partial 18S ribosomal RNA
Rfam family: Eukaryotic small subunit ribosomal RNA
Source: RNAcentral